CCAAACCAACAAGCUUGCUUGUUGGGGUUGUAGGACACUCUAUACGGAGUUACAAAGGACGACAUUAGACGAAUCAUCUGGAAAGAUGAAUCAAAGAAGGUAAUAAUCCUGUAGUCGAAAAUGUUGUCUCUCUUGAGUGGAUCCUGAGUACGACGGAACACGUGAAAUUCCGUCGGAAUCUGGGAGGACCAUCUCCUAAGGCUAAAUACUCUCUAGUGACCGAUAGUGAACCAGUACCGUGAGGGAAAGGUGAAAAGCACCCCGGAAGGGGAGUGAAAUAGAACCUGAAACCGUGUGCUUACAAGUAGUCAGAGCCCGUUAAUGGGUGAUGGCGUGCCUUUUGUAGAAUGAACCGGCGAGUUACGAUUUGAUGCAAGGUUAAGCAGUAAAUGUGGAGCCGUAGCGAAAGCGAGUCUGAAUAGGGCGUUUAGUAUUUGGUCGUAGACCCGAAACCAGGUGAUCUACCCUUGGUCAGGUUGAAGUUCAGGUAACACUGAAUGGAGGACCGAACCGACUUACGUUGAAAAGUGAGCGGAUGAACUGAGGGUAGCGGAGAAAUUCCAAUCGAACCUGGAGAUAGCUGGUUCUCUCCGAAAUAGCUUUAGGGCUAGCCUCAAGUGAUGAUUAUUGGAGGUAGAGCACUGUUUGGACGAGGGGCCCCUCUCGGGUUACCGAAUUCAGACAAACUCCGAAUGCCAAUUAAUUUAACUUGGGAGUCAGAACAUGGGUGAUAAGGUCCGUGUUCGAAAGGGAAACAGCCCAGACCACCAGCUAAGGUCCCAAAAUAUAUGUUAAGUGGAAAAGGAUGUGGCGUUGCCCAGACAACUAGGAUGUUGGCUUAGAAGCAGCCAUCAUUUAAAGAGUGCGUAAUAGCUCACUAGUCGAGUGACACUGCGCCGAAAAUGUACCGGGGCUAAACAUAUUACCGAAGCUGUGGAUUGUCCUUUGGACAAUGGUAGGAGAGCGUUCUAAGGGCGUUGAAGCAUGAUCGUAAGGACAUGUGGAGCGCUUAGAAGUGAGAAUGCCGGUGUGAGUAGCGAAAGACGGGUGAGAAUCCCGUCCACCGAUUGACUAAGGUUUCCAGAGGAAGGCUCGUCCGCUCUGGGUUAGUCGGGUCCUAAGCUGAGGCCGACAGGCGUAGGCGAUGGAUAACAGGUUGAUAUUCCUGUACCACCUAUAAUCGUUUUAAUCGAUGGGGGGACGCAGUAGGAUAGGCGAAGCGUGCGAUUGGAUUGCACGUCUAAGCAGUAAGGCUGAGUAUUAGGCAAAUCCGGUACUCGUUAAGGCUGAGCUGUGAUGGGGAGAAGACAUUGAGUCUUCGAGUCGUUGAUUUCACACUGCCGAGAAAAGCCUCUAGAUAGAAAAUAGGUGCCCGUACCGCAAACCGACACAGGUAGUCAAGAUGAGAAUUCUAAGGUGAGCGAGCGAACUCUCGUUAAGGAACUCGGCAAAAUGACCCCGUAACUUCGGGAGAAGGGGUGCUCUUUAGGGUUAACGCCCAGAAGAGCCGCAGUGAAUAGGCCCAAGCGACUGUUUAUCAAAAACACAGGUCUCUGCUAAACCGUAAGGUGAUGUAUAGGGGCUGACGCCUGCCCGGUGCUGGAAGGUUAAGAGGAGUGGUUAGCUUCUGCGAAGCUACGAAUCGAAGCCCCAGUAAACGGCGGCCGUAACUAUAACGGUCCUAAGGUAGCGAAAUUCCUUGUCGGGUAAGUUCCGACCCGCACGAAAGGCGUAACGAUUUGGGCACUGUCUCAACGAGAGACUCGGUGAAAUCAUAGUACCUGUGAAGAUGCAGGUUACCCGCGACAGGACGGAAAGACCCCGUGGAGCUUUACUGUAGCCUGAUAUUGAAAUUCGGCACAGCUUGUACAGGAUAGGUAGGAGCCUUUGAAACGUGAGCGCUAGCUUACGUGGAGGCGCUGGUGGGAUACUACCCUAGCUGUGUUGGCUUUCUAACCCGCACCACUUAUCGUGGUGGGAGACAGUGUCAGGCGGGCAGUUUGACUGGGGCGGUCGCCUCCUAAAAGGUAACGGAGGCGCUCAAAGGUUCCCUCAGAAUGGUUGGAAAUCAUUCAUAGAGUGUAAAGGCAUAAGGGAGCUUGACUGCGAGACCUACAAGUCGAGCAGGGUCGAAAGACGGACUUAGUGAUCCGGUGGUUCCGCAUGGAAGGGCCAUCGCUCAACGGAUAAAAGCUACCCCGGGGAUAACAGGCUUAUCUCCCCCAAGAGUUCACAUCGACGGGGAGGUUUGGCACCUCGAUGUCGGCUCAUCGCAUCCUGGGGCUGUAGUCGGUCCCAAGGGUUGGGCUGUUCGCCCAUUAAAGCGGUACGCGAGCUGGGUUCAGAACGUCGUGAGACAGUUCGGUCCCUAUCCGUCGUGGGCGUAGGAAAUUUGAGAGGAGCUGUCCUUAGUACGAGAGGACCGGGAUGGACAUACCUCUGGUGUACCAGUUGUCGUGCCAACGGCAUAGCUGGGUAGCUAUGUGUGGACGGGAUAAGUGCUGAAAGCAUCUAAGCAUGAAGCCCCCCUCAAGAUGAGAUUUCCCAACUUCGGUUAUAAGAUCCCUCAAAGAUGAUGAGGUUAAUAGGUUCGAGGUGGAAGCAUGGUGACAUGUGGAGCUGACGAAUACUAAUCGAUCGAAGACUUAAUCAA
RNAcentral lists this ribosomal RNA (2653 nucleotides) under Staphylococcus aureus SJUD6086. RNAcentral describes it as "bacterial LSU rRNA". It matches the Rfam family "Bacterial large subunit ribosomal RNA". Lineage: Bacteria; Bacillati; Bacillota; Bacilli; Caryophanales; Staphylococcaceae. RNAcentral also lists the same sequence under 4 other names. The record is from RNAcentral.